Molecule: ribosomal RNA, 250 nt
Filed under: uncultured Chroococcidiopsis sp.
Lineage: Bacteria; Bacillati; Cyanobacteriota; Cyanophyceae; Chroococcidiopsidales; Chroococcidiopsidaceae
Description: partial 16S ribosomal RNA
Rfam family: Bacterial small subunit ribosomal RNA
Source: RNAcentral
CUAGCUGUAAACGAUGGAUACUAGGCGUUGAGAGUAUCGACCCUCUCAGUGUCGUAGCUAACGCGUUAAGUAUCCCGCCUGGGGAGUACGCGCGCAAGCGUGAAACUCAAAGGAAUUGACGGGGGCCCGCACGAGCGGUGGAGUAUGUGGUUUAAUUCGAUGCAACGCGAAGAACCUUACCAGGGCUUGACAUGUCCGGAACCCUGCCCAAAGGCGGGGGUGCCUACGGGAACCGGAACACAGGUGGUGC